GGGAGUUUGGCCGAGUGGUUAAGGCGUUGUGUUUAGGCUACCCUACAAUAGUCAUCCGCAAUGUGCAUCGCACGCGCAGGUUCGAUCCCUGCAGCUCCCA
Emericellopsis atlantica is the source of this 100-nucleotide non-coding RNA. The record is from the annotation of a RefSeq genome assembly. Lineage: Eukaryota; Fungi; Ascomycota; Sordariomycetes; Hypocreales; Bionectriaceae.